Long non-coding RNA from Gracilinanus agilis (Agile Gracile Mouse Opossum), 300 nucleotides. RefSeq lists it as uncharacterized. Lineage: Eukaryota; Metazoa; Chordata; Mammalia; Didelphimorphia; Didelphidae. The record is from RefSeq and is a predicted model, not a curated record. The transcript is spliced from 3 exons.
AAGCAGACACUGACUACUUGCCAGAGGAAUGAUGUUGUGAAGACCAGGAAGCUCAUUCAGUUUUCAUACAGUUUCAGGUUGAGGCUAAAACUGCUUCUUUACAGCACCCACCUGUUACUUCUGAUUCCAUCCACCGGGGGCCAAAGAAAGCAAGAGAGUCCUGCCAUGUAACAAGAAUCAUUUUAAAAAGAAAAAGAGAAAGGAGAGAAAAAAUCACCCAAACUCAUCAAUACAUUGGGAAAAAUAAUUGAAAUAUAUGCAGUAUUCCAUACCAAUGGAUCACUCAUAUCUGCCAAGAAA